Molecule: ribosomal RNA, 428 nt
Filed under: uncultured bacterium
Lineage: Bacteria
Description: bacterial SSU rRNA
Rfam family: Bacterial small subunit ribosomal RNA
Source: RNAcentral
UAGGGAAUCUUCCGCAAUGGACGAAAGUCUGACGGAGCAACGCCGCGUGAGCGAAGAAGGCCUUCGGGUCGUAAAGCUCUGUUGUAAGGGAAGAACAAGUAACGCAGUAACUGGCGUUACCGUGACGGUACCUAACGAGAAAGCCACGGCUAACUACGUGCCAGCAGCCGCGGUAAUACGUAGGUGGCAAGCGUUGUCCGGAAUUAUUGGGCGUAAAGCGCGCGCAGGCGGUUCCUUAAGUCUGAUGUGAAAGCCCACGGCUCAACCGUGGAGGGUCAUUGGAAACUGGGGGACCUGAGUGCAGAAGAGGAGAGCGGAAUUCCACGUGUAGCGGUGAAAUGCGUAGAGAUGUGGAGGAACACCAGUGGCGAAGGCGGCUCUCUGGUCUGUAACUGACGCUGAGGCGCGAAAGCGUGGGGAGCAAACAG